UACGGAGGGAGCUAGCGUUGUUCGGAAUUACUGGGCGUAAAGCGUACGUAGGCGGCUGUUCAAGUCAGAGGUGAAAGCCUGGAGCUCAACUCCAGAACUGCCUUUGAAACUAGACAGCUAGAAUAUUGGAGAGGUUAGUGGAAUUCCGAGUGUAGAGGUGAAAUUCGUAGAUAUUCGGAAGAACACCAGUGGCGAAGGCGGCUAACUGGACAAUUAUUGACGCUGAGGUACGAAAGCGUGGGGAGCAAACAGG
Molecule: ribosomal RNA, 253 nt
Filed under: uncultured bacterium
Lineage: Bacteria
Description: partial 16S ribosomal RNA
Rfam family: Bacterial small subunit ribosomal RNA
Source: RNAcentral